Molecule: transfer RNA, 73 nt
Filed under: Diaphorina citri (Asian citrus psyllid)
Lineage: Eukaryota; Metazoa; Arthropoda; Insecta; Hemiptera; Psyllidae
Rfam family: tRNA
About the family: Transfer RNA (tRNA) molecules are approximately 80 nucleotides in length. Their secondary structure includes four short double-helical elements and three loops (D, anti-codon, and T loops).
Source: Rfam by way of RNAcentral
GCCUAGUUAGCUUGGUUGGUAGCGUGUCUGCCUUGUAAGCGCUAGGCCGUGGGUUCGAUUCCCGCCCUCGGCG